RNAcentral lists this ribosomal RNA (473 nucleotides) under uncultured bacterium. RNAcentral's name for it is "bacterial SSU rRNA". It matches the Rfam family "Bacterial small subunit ribosomal RNA", at positions 26 to 507 of the family's 1533-position model. The record is from RNAcentral.
AGGACGAACGCUGGCGGCGUGCCUAACACAUGCAAGUCGGGCGGAGAUAGACUGAUGGUAACUGAAGCUUAUCUUAGCGGCGGACGGGUGAGUAACACGUGGGCAACCUGCCUUGGAGUGGGGGAUAACACCGGGAAAUCGGUGCUAAUACCGCAUAACAUACACAAACUGCAUGGUAAGUGUAUCAAAGGAGUAAUCCGCUUUAAGAUGGGCCCGCGGCUGAUUAGCUAGUUGGUAAGGUAACGGCUUACCAAGGCGACGAUCAGUAGCCGACCUGAGAGGGUGACCGGCCACACUGGAACUGAGACACGGUCCAGACUCCUACGGGAGGCAGCAGUGGGGAAUAUUGCGCAAUGGGGGGAACCCUGACGCAGCAACGCCGCGUGGAGGAAGAAGGUCUUCGGAUUGUAAACUCCUGUCUUCUGGGACGAAGUAUGACGGUACCAGAGGAGGAAGCCACGGCUAACUACGUG